UGUGACCUCAAAUCAGGUAGGACUACCCGCUGAACUUAAGCAUAUCAAUAAGCGGAGGAAAAGAAACUAACAAGGAUUCCCCUAGUAACUGCGAGUGAAGCGGGAAAAGCUCAAAUUUAAAAUCUGGCAGUCUUUGGCUGUCCGAGUUGUAAACUAGAGAAGUGUUAUCCGCGCUGGACCGUGUACAAGUCUCCUGGAAUGGAGCGUCAUAGAGGGUGAGAAUCCCGUCUUUGACACGGACUACCAGGGCUUUGUGAUGCGCUCUCAAAGAGUCGGGUUGUUUGGGAAUGCAGCUCAAAAUGGGUGGUAAAUUCCAUCUAAAGCUAAAUAUUGGCGAGAGACCGAUAGCGAACAAGUACCGUGAGGGAAAGAUGAAAAGAACUUUGGAAAGAGAGUUAAACAGUACGUGAAAUUGCUGAAAGGGAAACGCUUGAAGUCAGUCGCGUUGUCCAGGGAUCAACCUUGCUUUUGCUUGGUGUACUUUCUGGUUGACGGGUCAGCAUCAAUUUUGACUAUUGGAAAAAGAUUAGGGGAAUGUGACAUCUUCGGAUGUGUUAUAGCCCUUGGUUGCAUACAAUGGUUGGGAUUGAGGAACUCAGCACG
RNAcentral lists this ribosomal RNA (603 nucleotides) under Cortinarius infractus. RNAcentral describes it as "eukaryotic LSU rRNA". It matches the Rfam family "Eukaryotic large subunit ribosomal RNA", at positions 1 to 602 of the family's 3401-position model. Lineage: Eukaryota; Fungi; Basidiomycota; Agaricomycetes; Agaricales; Cortinariaceae. The record is from RNAcentral.